MicroRNA precursor from Oryza sativa Japonica Group (Japanese rice), 205 nucleotides. It matches the Rfam family "MIR812 microRNA precursor family". The record is from Rfam. Lineage: Eukaryota; Viridiplantae; Streptophyta; Magnoliopsida; Poales; Poaceae.
AAAAAGACAAACCACGAGUUUCCGUGUCCAACUUUGACUGUCCGUCUUAUAUGAAAUUUUUUUAUAAUUCGUAUUUUCAUUGUUGUUAGAUGAUAAAACAUGAUUAAUAUUUUAUGUGUGACUUAUCUUUUUAAUUUUUUUCAUAAUUUUUUUAAAUAAGAUGAACGGUCAAACGUUAAGCACGGAAACCAGGGUUUGUCUUUUU